This 449-nucleotide ribosomal RNA is filed under the name Neisseria mucosa. RNAcentral describes it as "bacterial SSU rRNA". It matches the Rfam family "Bacterial small subunit ribosomal RNA", at positions 31 to 484 of the family's 1533-position model. Lineage: Bacteria; Pseudomonadati; Pseudomonadota; Betaproteobacteria; Neisseriales; Neisseriaceae. The record is from RNAcentral.
GAACGCUGGCGGCGUGCUUAACACAUGCAAGUCGGACGGCAGCACAGAGAAGCUUGCUUCUUGGGUGGCGAGUGGCGAACGGGUGAGUAACAUAUGGAACGUACCGAGCAGUGGGGGAUAAUAAUCGAAAGAUUAGCUAAUACCGCAUAUAUUCUGAGGAAGAAAGCAGGGGACCAUUUGGCCUUGCGCUGUUUGAGCGGCCGAUAUCUGAUUAGCUAGUUGGUGGGGUAAAGGCCUACCAAGGCGACGAUCAGUAGCGGGUCUGAGAGGAUGAUCCGCCACACUGGGACUGAGACACGGCCCAGACUCCUACGGGAGGCAGCAGUGGGGAAUUUUGGACAAUGGGCGCAAGCCUGAUCCAGCCAUGCUGCGUGUCUGAAGAAGGCCUUCGGGUUGUAAAGGACUUUUGUCAGGGAAGAAAAAGGCGGGGUUAAUACCCCUGUCUGAUG